AGAAAAAUAUUCGUUUUUCAAGCGAAUAGAAAAAAAAGGAAGAAAAAAAGGAAGGGAAAGAAGAAGUAGGGUGAGGUGGGUAGGGGUGGAGAAGAAAGGGGAGAUGGAAUCUCCACAAUGAUGUUUUUAGUAUCCUCUAACAACAGCAGGUAGUUAACAUCUGUCCAUCGAUCGUUAUCCACCGAGUGAUUUUUCUUCGAGGGAAAAUGAAUUUCAUCUCCGUUGAGGCUUUCAUUUAUAAAACUACGAUGAAAAA
This is a long non-coding RNA of Vespula pensylvanica (western yellowjacket), 256 nucleotides long. RefSeq lists it as uncharacterized. NCBI's taxonomy places the organism in Eukaryota, Metazoa, Arthropoda, Insecta, Hymenoptera, Vespidae. The record is from RefSeq and is a predicted model, not a curated record. The transcript is spliced from 2 exons.